AUUGAACGCUGGCGGCAUGCCUUACACAUGCAAGUCGAACGGCAGCACGGGAGCAAUCCUGGUGGCGAGUGGCGAACGGGUGAGUAAUGUAUCGGAACGUACCUUUCAGUGGGGGAGUAACGUAGCGAAAGUUACGCUAAUACCGCAUAUUCUGUGAGCAGGAAAGCAGGGGAGUCGCAAGACCUUGCGCUGAUUGAGCGGCCGAUAUCAGAUUAGCUAGUUGGUGAGGUAAAGGCUCACCAAGGCGACGAUCUGUAGCGGGUCUGAGAGGAUGAUCCGCCACACUGGAACUGAGACACGGUCCAGACUCCUACGGGAGGCAGCAGUGGGGAAUUUUGGACAAUGGGCGCAAGCCUGAUCCAGCCAUGCCGCGUGAGUGAAGAAGGCC
This 388-nucleotide ribosomal RNA is filed under the name uncultured bacterium. Its description in RNAcentral is "bacterial SSU rRNA". It matches the Rfam family "Bacterial small subunit ribosomal RNA", at positions 30 to 416 of the family's 1533-position model. The record is from RNAcentral.